UGUGUUUACCUAGGUCAAAGGUUCUUAAUCUCAGCGCACAUCAGAAUCACCUAGAAAGCUCAUUACAACAGGAAUUGCUGACCCCUCCCCCCAAAAAGUUCUGAUUUAGUAAGUUUGGGUGGAAAUCUGGGCCUGAGAAUAUGCAUUUUUGUCAGCUUCCUCAGUGAGACUGACAGCCAGCAUCCCACACUUUGAAAGCCACUGCAUUAUGACAUCUGUGCUCUUAAUUAGCUGUGUGUUCUGGUAACAAAAUUUUCAUUGUUAACUGUUCCAAAACUUACAUAUCAGGGGUUAUACUGUUUUGAGUAAGUUUCCUAAAAUGAUUCCGCAAACUGAUCCCAGGUUCUGAAUUUCCUGGUGUCAAGGGUCUCUGGAAUGUGUUACUGCAUUGAAAGAGCCCCAUCUCUAGAGCACCCUUGCAUGGAGUGGUUUAUCAUUCUACCCUGUGGUGACCCACACAGCUACCUGUGGUUCCUGAGCUCAGAGGUGGCAGUGGGGUCCCAUGCUGCGCUGGGGUUCUGCCCGAGGGCCUGUGUCUGUUCCCUUGAAAUCGGGUUCAGAAGCCACACAGCUGGGUUUCCAGGAGUGCCUGAGUGUCUAUCUCUUCCUCUUCCUCUGCUUUUCUUUUUGCCCUGUGAAUCAGUGGGAAAUCCCCCUAGAAUCUCCAGACCAGUGGCCCUGUGUCUGAGCUGUAGAUGCGGGUCAGAGAUAAUGGUAGGUUCAGUGCAGGGCCUGGCAAUUCCCGGGCCAGAGGGUUUCCUAAACAUCACUCCAGGCCUUAAGAUCCUUAAUUAAGCCACCAGAGGCCCAGAAGACAUGGCAGUUUUCCCUGAGCUCUCUACACUGAAGCUGUAACUACACUUCUGCUUCUGCCUGGGGACGCAUUCCUUUGCUAGUCCUGAAGGUAAGGCCUGGCUGCUUGGGAAAGGGCUGGACAAGGUAUGUCAGGAGAGACCAUUCUCUUCGAAUCUGUUAGUCUGGCUUGCGGGAAUUCCUUAUUCAUUCAACAACACAUGUAUUAAAUACUAGGCAGUGUUGUGGGCAGCCUGCAACUGGGGAUACACCGGAGCUUACAUUCUGUUGGAGCAAGACAGGUAACAAGGCACACAAAAAAACUCAAGGGCAGCAUUAGCCCAGAAGCCAGCAGUCUAGACUGCAGCCCUGCCCUCUAGCUGCCUGGCUUGCCUCCUGCUCCUGCUGCGGCAGCCUCAGACCCCAGACCCCAGGCCUUGCUUACCUCCACCUUCCCGCCGGGCCUUGGUCUUCCUGCAGCUGCUGUGACUCUGUUGUGUGGAGCCUCACAUAGCAUCAGUAUCC
RNAcentral lists this long non-coding RNA (1317 nucleotides) under Heterocephalus glaber (naked mole-rat). RNAcentral describes it as "lncRNA (ENSHGLG00000037332.1)". Lineage: Eukaryota; Metazoa; Chordata; Mammalia; Rodentia; Bathyergidae. The record is from RNAcentral.